This is a non-coding RNA of Elaeis guineensis (African oil palm), 2427 nucleotides long. NCBI's taxonomy places the organism in Eukaryota, Viridiplantae, Streptophyta, Magnoliopsida, Arecales, Arecaceae. The record is from RefSeq and is a predicted model, not a curated record.
GCCGCUCCGCUUCGAGUUGGGAGUAGCGAAUGCCAUGGAGGAGGCGAGGAGGAGAGCUUUGGGGAGCUUCGGAGGGGCGAGACGGAGCCCUAGCUCUGAUCGAGGGGGCUCUUCUUCGACUUCUGGUUCUUCUUUGCCGCGCGAGCAAUGGGGACUGGAUCCGAUUGUGGAGAAGGAGCUCGACGCGGCGCAGGCUUUGGCCGAGAUGGCCAUUCAACAAGAGCAGGAGAAUAAGAGGAUUGAGGACCACGGCUCCCCUUCUACGUCUCGAGAGGAGAGCAUCAGAGAAGGGAAGGGUUGGGGAUUGAAGCAUGAACAAUUGGUUGAUGAUUAUCAAGAAGAUGGUGAAGCUGUCAAGGAUGCAAUGGAAGAAAAAAAAAGUGGGCAGGAGAUUUCUGAAUUGCCAAAAGCAGACAUCACCUGCUCCACUAGUCGCACUCCAUUCUCUAGUAGAGUGAAGCAAAAUUUGGCCGAGGCUGAGAAGGAAGCAAAGAGAAUGCGCAGGAUCCUAGCCAAUAGAGAGUCAGCUAGGCAGACAAUUCGUAGGCGACAGAUCAUUCGCGAGGAGUUGACCAAAAAGGUUGCUGAUUUGUCAUUGAAAAAUAAGAAUAUGAAGAUGGAAAAAGAGUUGGUCAUGAAAGAAUACCUUUCCCUGAAGGACACUAACAACCAACUAAAGGAACAGAUUUCUAAGGCAAUGAAUUGCGAGUUUGGGACAAGUGCAGAGGCGACGUCCAUGCAGGUGGAGAUAUCAGCAUCUUCAUCAACCAAUCUCCCACCAAUGAUAUAUGGCAAACUGCCUAUGGUGCCAUACGUUUGGCCUCCCUGGCUCAUUUCUACAAUCACUAGACCAUGCCAUGAGCAUGAUGGUGCUAGUGUAUUCAGUGGAGCAAGGCCACAUCUCUAUUUGCCUCCCUGUGCUUGGUUUUAUCCUUCUUCACAUGAGAUACCCGGAUCCCGUUCUCAACAUCCUCAUUCACCAAAAGAAAGACAUGAAGAUCCUGUCGCUAUAUGGCAUGAUUUAGGACAAUCGUACGGCGCACUGGACUAUGAAGAGAAAGCAAUGAUGCAUAACAGUAAGGAAACAGAUCUUUCUUUGCCGCAUACAAUUGUCACACAGGAGGAGGAAAAUGGUGCUACAAACAACCAGAGAUUACUAGCAACAGUUCCAACAGAGCAUCAGAUGUUAAGGCAUUGUCCAUAUAAACUAGGGCACAUGUCUUCUCAUUGUAGGACUUUACUUUCUUCAUCAGAUGUGAAAGGUGGGCCUGUGACAGAUCAUGAUGAUGGAACUUCACUUGAAAAAUCUGGAGGAGCUUGUUCUCACCCUAAUGAGCAGUUAUUGAUUGCAGCUGCAGCAGCCCAAGCCCGGAAGCGAAGAAGAGAACUCAUAAAGUUAAAACAACUCCAUGGAAGACAGGCUGGUCUGCACUCCUAAGCUCUGAAAUGAAUGUUAAUGUAUCUCAGCUCCUAUUAAUUACUAGUUUUGAUCCAGGUCAUGGUGGUGGCUGGAAUGUUUGUUUUCACUAUUUGUCGAGUGCAUCAUAGGAAGUGAACAGGAUGACUGACACGUCAUUCAAGUAUAGUGAGACCAACCGAUCCAGCCGGCUCUGUGAGCAGUAGAAUUUGUGUAGGACAUGCUUCUAAAUUGGCUGAAGAGUGAACCUAGACUGCACUCUUCAACCAAUUGCAGCCUCUCCUCCUUGCCAAAUAGAGCGGUUCGUGCUUGUAUAUGGAUUAACGCAGCAAAAUUCCUCACGGAUGCAUCUGCUGUUGGGAGUAUUGCUAUUCCAGCAAUCCUGAUGCAUAAUUGAGAUGGGAGACAUGUUCAUAGAGCUUGUCUCCUUGUUCAUUCUUGUUGGCACAGUUCUUUGGUUACAUUGAGUUAGCCUCGAUGAGGAUUGGCAAUAACCUGUCAGAGAGGAUCAAUCAAAGAAAUUAAGGGACAUGCAACUCAUGUACGGCUUAUGUACGGUUAUUACAUGCAUUUUUCUUCGCUGGAACAAGAUAAUCGUGUUGCACACUUUGAUGUUUGAUGUAUUUUUGACGAACGAACCUGCUCGUCAUGUAAGACCGGUAUUAGAUCAUAUAUUAUGAAGUGUCACAGCUUAGCAGACAAAUUACCACUCCAUUCCGUUAUUCCACUAACAUAAUUUGUGCUCUUGAUGGUAAGAGUUUGUAACUGAAUAUUUCAUUUAGUGGUGAUGAUCAGGUCUGGUGAAUUCUGAGGCAAGUCAAGAGGUGAGCUUUAGCAUGAUGGGAUGAUAGCUGGUGCCCUCUAAUCUGCAUUUACAUUGAUCCUAACAAGGUACCAUCAGGUGCUCUGUAUUUCACUCAACGAUUUAUUGCAAAAUUUGUCAUCUCGAUAUCAGAUUCUGUACUAUAAUAUCGAUACAUCCAAUGUGAAGACCGGUUUAAUAUACUGAG